CAAUAGCGUAUAUUUAAGUUGUUGCAGUUAAAAAGCUCGUAGUUGGAUUUCGGUUAAGAGCGACCGGUCCGCCGUUUGGUGUGCACUGGUUGGUUUUAACUUCCUGUAGAGGACGUGCUCUGGGUUUAACGACCUGGACUCGGAGUCUACGUGGUUACUUUGAAAAAAUUAGAGUGUUCAAAGCGGGCUUACGCUUGAAUAUUUCAGCAUGGAAUAACACUAUAGGACUCCUGUCCUAUUUCGUUGGUCUCGGGACGGGAGUAAUGAUUAAGAGGAACAGUUUGGGGCAUUCGUAUUUCAUUGUCAGAGGUGAAAUUCUUGGAUUUAUGAAAGACGAACUUCUGCGAAAGCAUUUGCCAAGGAUGUUUUCAUUAA
Molecule: ribosomal RNA, 375 nt
Filed under: uncultured eukaryote
Lineage: Eukaryota
Description: partial 18S ribosomal RNA
Rfam family: Eukaryotic small subunit ribosomal RNA
Source: RNAcentral